Molecule: ribosomal RNA, 504 nt
Filed under: uncultured fungus
Lineage: Eukaryota; Fungi
Description: SSU rRNA
Rfam family: Eukaryotic small subunit ribosomal RNA
Source: RNAcentral
GAUUCAUAAUAACUUCACGAAUCGCAUGGCCUUGCGCCGGCGAUGGUUCAUUCAAAUUUCUGCCCUAUCAACUUUCGAUGGUAGGAUAGUGGCCUACCAUGGUGGCAACGGGUAACGGGGAAUUAGGGUUCGAUUCCGGAGAGGGAGCCUGAGAAACGGCUACCACAUCCAAGGAAGGCAGCAGGCGCGCAAAUUACCCAAUCCCGAUACGGGGAGGUAGUGACAAUAAAUACUGAUACAGGGCUCUUUUGGGUCUUGUAAUUGGAAUGAGAACAAUCUAAAUCCCUUAACGAGGAACAAUUGGAGGGCAAGUCUGGUGCCAGCAGCCGCGGUAAUUCCAGCUCCAAUAGCGUAUAUUAAAGUUGUUGCAGUUAAAAAGCUCGUAGUUGAACCUUGGGCCCGUCCUGCCGGUCCGCCUCACCGCGAGUACUGGUCCGGAUGGGCCUUUCUUUCUGGGGAAUCCCAUGGCCUUCACUGGCUGUGGCGGGGAACCAGGACUUUUAC